GAAGGUAUAGCUCAGUGAUAGAGUGCUUGCCUAGCAUGCACAAGUUCCUGGGUUCAAUCCCCAGUGCUGCCG
Molecule: transfer RNA, 72 nt
Filed under: Camelus bactrianus (Bactrian camel)
Lineage: Eukaryota; Metazoa; Chordata; Mammalia; Artiodactyla; Camelidae
Also listed under: 2 other names
Rfam family: tRNA
About the family: Transfer RNA (tRNA) molecules are approximately 80 nucleotides in length.
Source: Rfam by way of RNAcentral